This 211-nucleotide long non-coding RNA is filed under the name Nicotiana benthamiana. RNAcentral's name for it is "long non-coding RNA (NBEN_LNC000357)". The record is from RNAcentral. Lineage: Eukaryota; Viridiplantae; Streptophyta; Magnoliopsida; Solanales; Solanaceae.
UUAAACUUCUUUUUCAUUUCAGUAAUUGCAAUUUCAUAAAUUUUCCCUCCCUCGUUAAAAUCGACAAACAAAUUAGCAAGUGCGGCAAUAUAACUAAACAGUUAGAAAUAGUUGGAUAAUAUUGGCUAGAUAAAGCAGUUGUAGCCAUAUGAAAAUGUUCUAAAAAAUCUAAAAGAAUUUUAACGUUAGUCCAAUCUUGAUUAGUUAGCAU